This 462-nucleotide ribosomal RNA is filed under the name uncultured bacterium. RNAcentral describes it as "partial 16S ribosomal RNA". It matches the Rfam family "Bacterial small subunit ribosomal RNA", at positions 28 to 507 of the family's 1533-position model. The record is from RNAcentral.
GACGAACGCUGGCGGCGUGCUUAACACAUGCAAGUCGAACGGUGAAGCCCUUCGGGGUGGAUCAGUGGCGAACGGGUGAGUAACACGUGCGCAACCUGCCCCUGGCUCUGGGACAACCACUGGAAACGGUGGCUAAUACCGGAUACGACCCGCCUCGGCAUCGAGUGUGGGUGGUUAGUUUUUCGGCUGGGGAUGGGCUCGCGGCCUAUCAGCUUGUUGGUGAGGUGAAGGCUCACCAAGGCGACGACGGGUAGCCGGCCUGAGAGGGCGACCGGCCACACUGGGACUGAGACACGGCCCAGACUCCUACGGGAGGCAGCAGUGGGGAAUAUUGCACAAUGGGCGAAAGCCUGAUGCAGCGACGCCGCGUGAGGGAUGACGGCCUUCGGGUUGUAAACCUCUUUCAGCUCCGAAGAAGCGAAAGUGACGGUAGGAGCAGAAGAAGCACCGGCUAACUACGUG